Molecule: non-coding RNA, 85 nt
Organism: Felis catus (domestic cat)
Lineage: Eukaryota; Metazoa; Chordata; Mammalia; Carnivora; Felidae
Source: Rfam
GCCCGGGUGGCUCAGUCGGUUGAGCGUCCGACUUCAGCUCAGGUCACGAUCUCGCGGUCCGUGAGUUCGAGCCCCGCGUCGGGCU